RNAcentral lists this long non-coding RNA (580 nucleotides) under Numida meleagris (helmeted guineafowl). RNAcentral's name for it is "lncRNA (ENSNMEG00000013517.1)". Lineage: Eukaryota; Metazoa; Chordata; Aves; Galliformes; Numididae. The record is from RNAcentral.
UUUAUAUUUCAUUUCUUUUCCAGAAACAAGACUCACCUGCAGUUUCUGUACCACAGUCACCACAGUCUGUAUCCACAACAUCAAACAAAAAUUGGCCUUUAUUUCUCUGUUGCUGAUGUAUAUGGAGAGGCUCUCAUGGACUUCAAAGGAAUUAGAAUUUGGGCCUUUUGAAAGUGUGUCUUCAGUAAUGACCUUUUCCUACAGCCUGAAGACACAGUGAAUGGUUCCUGGUUUCUUUCCUUCCACAUGUCCCAAAUCAGUGUUUGAAUGAGCCUGAACGAUGAUGAAAUGCCUCCCAGGAGAGUCGGCAGCUUCCCGAAGAUUGAAGCCUGCCUGGCUCCAUCCUCUUCCAUUUCAGUGCCGCAGAUGAGGGACUGGAUGGAUGGCACUCGUAUGUGCCCAUUGUCCAAGUACUGAGACGAAGUCGUAGUAAUGAGGAUGCUGGAGGUGAAUCUUAGAUAAAUUCUUAAUGGAGAAAUGGCAGGAGAACAGCCCUCUCUGCGCAGAGGUUUCAGCUAAGAGAGAGAAAUAUCUCAGUUCCCUGUCUGAACCAUCCAACAAGGGAAGAUGCUGCCUAGCC